RNAcentral lists this ribosomal RNA (502 nucleotides) under uncultured bacterium. RNAcentral's name for it is "bacterial SSU rRNA". It matches the Rfam family "Bacterial small subunit ribosomal RNA", at positions 9 to 526 of the family's 1533-position model. The record is from RNAcentral.
GAGUUUGAUCCUGGCUCAGGACGAACGCUGGCGGCGCGCCUAACACAUGCAAGUCGAACGAGAGAGAAGGAGCUUGCUUCUUCGAUCGAGUGGCGAACGGGUGAGUAACGCGUGAGGAACCUGCCUCAAAGAGGGGGACAACAGUUGGAAACGACUGCUAAUACCGCAUAAGCGCACGGGACCGCAUGGUCCAGUGUGAAAAACUCCGGUGGUAUAGGAUGGACCCGCGUUGGAUUAGCUAGUUGGUGGGGUAACGGCCCACCAAGGCGACGAUCCAUAGCCGGCCUGAGAGGGUGAACGGCCACAUUGGGACUGAGACACGGCCCAGACUCCUACGGGAGGCAGCAGUGGGGAAUAUUGCACAAUGGGGGAAACCCUGAUGCAGCGACGCCGCGUGAAGGAAGAAGUAUCUCGGUAUGUAAACUUCUAUCAGCAGGGAAGAUAGUGACGGUACCUGACUAAGAAGCCCCGGCUAACUACGUGCCAGCCGCCGCGGUAAUUC